AGGAGAGAAAUCAUCACCUUCUCUCUGUCCUGAUCUGCUGUGUGAGCGCGGCUGGAGGUGAACAUGCCAGCCGCGCUCACACAGGAAAACACCACAGCCAGUUCAUCAGCUGACGGAGGAAAUCACCGAAAAAGAGAUGAGGAACAGCUACUCAAAAAGUUUCUGCCAGUUAUUGGACCUGAGCACUUCCUGGUUGUGGUUGUCUGUAUUUGUGUGAGAUUAAUAACAUUUUAAAUUAAACAGAACAUCCAGUGGCUUAAAAAUAAUUUGUGAUUUAUUUUUAACAUAGUGAAAGAUCCAAAACUACAGAUAAUAUUUGUGAAGUGGAAGGAAACUGAAUUUUGGAUCUAAAAAUGUUUGACAAAAAAAAUCUGAAAAGUUUGGCAUGUAUCUGUCUUUUGGUCAGGGAGAGUGUUGUGGAGAAGUUUAAAGUUUAUAGUCAGCAACAACAUUGCAAGAUUUUAGCAUUUCUUGGAGCUCUGAUCAUUUUAUCACCUGGAGAGAGGAUGGACCACCUGGACAGGUGAGCUGGUCAGAGGUGGAGGUAAAUCAAACCUUACAGAAAACCUGUUAAAGGAUGGAGGAAACUUGAGACUGUGAUGGAGGUUCACUUUCCUAAACAUAAACAUCUAGCCAGAGCUGAAAUGAAGAUUAAUGUUCAGAUGUGUUUUCAGAUGGGUUCAAACGCAUCUGAACAUUUUUCAUGUCAGCUCUAGAUCUUCUGACUGACUGAGACAUUUUCAGUCUCUAGAUCUGUAAAGUUGGUGAAGUUAUUCCCACAGUUAUAUGCAACUUCACCUGCAAUUACAGGUUUUGUAUUUAUGAAGCUUUGACUCUGUAAGACUGAAUACAAAAGCUUGAAAAUCCUUGUUAAAAUGUCAGUAAAAUCCCUUAAAAUUUGUGGUUGUAAUGUGACAAACUGUGUAAAAGUCUAGCAUGUAAAAAUGCUUUAGUUUUUAUGCUAGUUUUAUAAAACUCAAACAGUUUAUGAUCCCCAGUAUUAUCAACGGUUUAGGAACCACAACAGCCUGCAAAAAGCUACAAUCUAAAAAUACUUGAAACAUCCUUUUAAAAUGUUUAUAAUUGCCCAGUUUAAUAGUUCAAACACCAAAUAUAACUCAAUAUUAGACUGCACAGUAGAAGUUGACUUAGUGCUGCAGCAGAAGCUAACAUCCACAGUCUACCUCAUCUCCACUUUUGAGGGUGCAACCAAUCAGUGACAGGGAAAAUGUAUGGCACUCCUGGAUUGGCUGCUUUGCAAACACUGGCCUAGUUUUGUGUCUGUAUUUGAAUUAUUUAUUUUUUAUAUUAUUAUCUUGUCUAAUUCUCUGUUGUCUUCUCUAUACUUAUUCAAAGCAGGAAAAUAACCAUCAAAUCAUGUUUUGAUUGAAUCAACAGCUGUCCUGUCUGAAUGCCUGUUGGUGUCAUGAAGAUAAGAAAACCUGAAGCCAAGUGAUCCUGAAACCUUCUAGAUUUAAAGGCCAGGUGGACAGAUCCACUCCGACUUCCUGAUUAUUCAUUCCUGUAUUUUUGUUGUUGCACCUUUCAGAGCACAAAUCUUGCUAAACAAAAUGAUUAAUAUAGGUAAGAAGAGCUAAAAAGCUAAAAAAAAAAAAUCUGAACUGCUGUGAAAAAGGGGAAAAAACGUGAACACUGCACCUGGUGCCAGUACCUGCUGUCUCUGCUCAUGCACCUCUUUGAGCCCAUCCAGCAUUUCCAACCCAGCAAGAACAGACGGUGUGGAGAGCGACUUAUUGGAUUGGAUCCCAUCCAGCAGUGACUUAUAUGCUCAACCUAUAUGUCACAGAUGGAUCUGAACAUCCACACAGACCUGUGGGGAAGAGGAGCCACUAGAUUCUCGUUCUGGCCUUAAAAGCUAAAAUAGAGAUGAUUCUGUUCAAAUAUUCAGCUUUAAUCUCCAGUGAUGCAGUCACGUUCAGAGCCGUAAAACUCUGGUGAAGGAAGAACAACCUGCAGCCUGGGCCUCCAGUCUGCGCAGCCCUGGUUCAUUAUGGAGCACGGUGGGGAGCCCGAGCACACGGCGCGGUAAUCCCUGCUGGAGCAGCCGCCAUGCUGUCAUUACUGAAACGGAUGCCACUCCUAACACCAACAUGCACACAGACGAAGGGCUGUUGUCACUGCAUAUAGACUAUAUCAAGAAUUAUAUUCUCCACAGGACCUGAAAUACUGGUGCAGAUUUAUCCUCUGUUGUGAAUCAGAGGCAUGAUUUGUCCUGUUUGUUGUUGUUGAUGUCAUAUGCUUGCAGAUAUGAAAUGUGAGCCACUACUGUGAGGUUUAACACUGUUUGCAGAGUCUGCAUUUAAAUACAUUUCCGAUUAGAAGCAUAUAGACACAUAUCAGCAUGAAUGCUGUACGCAAAUUUAAUUUGAUCAGUUUGAGGCUUUUAAUUGGAUAUUUAAAUCAUUAUUUUCUGAGAAGCUGGACUGGUGAUGCAGCAUAUAACAUCAGUGGUUUUAUUUGGAUAAAUCUCCUUCAACAAGUUGCAGAGAAAUGACAUCAACAGGGUUCUGAUGAAAUUCUGUCUGGAGAUUUAAUCUCUCACCUCAUCUGAAAAUGAUCUUUUAUACUGGUUGAUUUUCUUACCUAGGACCUGCUUUUAAACACCAUCCAUAAAGUUUUCUUAUAUGGUUGAGAUCAUGGCUGUUCAGAUGCUUCAUGGAAGCUCAGAUGUUUCAGCCAUCUAACUGCUGAUAGUGAAGAUGGAGUAUUUGACGGUACAGAGGACCCCUGCAUAUUAGUGAUAGUAUUCCAGAUUCACACCCUUGCAGACUUUUCUGUGGAGCGCAACACUGAAUUAUUUGGUAUAAUUUGCCAACCUGGGGAUUGUGCUGUAGAGUGUAUCUAAAAUAUUUCAAAGAAAAUGCAACCUGGGCAGCUGAAAUACUUUAGAGCAAUGCUAUUUUACAUGCUAUUUGCUGGCAUUCACAAAGUAGCCAAUAUAGGGGCAGCAUUCGUUUUCAUUGGUUCUGACUGGCUGAACCCUCAAGAGCAGAAACAAGGAAGACCUUGGAUAGUAGCCUUCCUUGUUUUCACUCAGUGUAUUAUUGUAUACUUUGGUACAAUUGUUGUUUGAACUAACAAAAUAAGCUGUUAUAAGUGGUUUUAGAAGAUUGCGCUUCCAGAUCUCCAUUUUGGAUGAGGGAAGCGCCUCUGUGGUUCUUGUUAACUUGUAACAGUGACACUGACAGUAACACAGCUGAUACAACAUAAAAAAAAAUAAAGUAGCAUCUACUUCAGGUAUCACUCAGUAGUGGAUAGCAAAAAGCUAUUGAUCAUUUUGAGCUACGGUGGUACCUGAAUUAUUUUGAACAUCCUAACAUGUCCUUUUACCAGCAGUGGAGAUGUUUGAUCAAAUUAUUGAAAUUUGGACACAACUGUAUGUUCCAACAAGACAGUAAUCUCAAACACACACUGAAAGAGAAACUGAAAGGCUCAUAUAUGCUUUCUGAUUGACCUCCCCUAAACACUGACUGGUGAACUAAUCCAGAAGUUAGUACUAUGACAAAAACCCCCCAAAAAACUGAACUACACCAGUUCUACCAAGAAGAAGAGUCAAAUAUCCAGGCAGAAUUUGGUCAGAAACUUGGUGAUCGCUGCAAAGGUCAUGUGGUUGAAGUAUAACUUACUGAGGGUCAUUUUACCAAAUAUUAGUUGCAUAUUUCAGUAUGCAUGUAUAAUUUUGUUGAAGAGUGAAUCAGGUAAAUUCACAGAACAAUUUAGCUUGUGCAUGCCUAUUUCUUUUCAAAGUCAAGGAAGUUGCAAACACAUCAUGAAAACCCCCAAAAUUAGCAAGAUAUUCUGACUGAUGAUGAGGAUUUAAACUCAUGAUCUCAAAACAUAUCUAUUGUUAACCUAUUUUUCUUAUGAAUCUCUGACAGAAAAUGCAAGACACAUGGACAUGCAGGCAAAACUAAAUAAGUAAAAAGGAAAACGUGUAUUUUGUUUUUUUCCUCUUCCGACUGAUAUUCCUGAUCUAGGCCAGACAAUCAUGGCUGCCUGAAGACUAAUCCAAUCUUGCAUAAACAUUGCUAUGUUUU
Molecule: long non-coding RNA, 4058 nt
Organism: Gambusia affinis (western mosquitofish)
Lineage: Eukaryota; Metazoa; Chordata; Actinopteri; Cyprinodontiformes; Poeciliidae
Exons: 4
Source: RefSeq, a predicted model, not a curated record